This 296-nucleotide long non-coding RNA is filed under the name Bos taurus (domestic cattle). RNAcentral describes it as "long non-coding RNA NONBTAT018767". Lineage: Eukaryota; Metazoa; Chordata; Mammalia; Artiodactyla; Bovidae. The record is from RNAcentral.
GAAAAAUUAGUCAUUUUUCAAAAGUAGCCAAGUAAGAUAUAUAGCCUUAUUCUACCUGUUGUUUAAUAUAUUUGACAUGUGAUGUUGACUGUAUUAGAUUUAGAUAAUUAUUUUUUCAGUCAAGUAAGUUGUUACUAUAAAUAUCAUAAAUUAUGUUAAUAUUUUUGUCUUGGAUAUACUUUUUCAAUUUCUCAUAAACCUUUUACAUUCUGUCAUCUUUGUUUAUUCUUCUUUUCUUCUUUAUUUUCUCCAUCCCUAAUUCUUUUCUUUUUACCAUUAAAUAUUAUUCAUCAAUG